This 1338-nucleotide long non-coding RNA is filed under the name Heterocephalus glaber (naked mole-rat). RNAcentral describes it as "lncRNA (ENSHGLG00100032876.1)". Lineage: Eukaryota; Metazoa; Chordata; Mammalia; Rodentia; Bathyergidae. The record is from RNAcentral.
CACAGAAAAGCGGGUAACUCUCUAGGACGCCUCUAAGAUGCACCACGUGGGCGGCCGAAGUGGUGUGGCGGAAGCCGCUCAGCAGAUGGUACUCGCUACAGUCAUGUGCCACACCCUGCCCCACGCACGCGCAGAACGCGCUCGCUCCAGGGAUGAGCCGCACGCACGCGCGAGCCUGCUCGCUAAGGCUUCAGGACACCGCUGCGGCUGUCUUCAUUUGUGUCCCUGUCAGACGUGUGACUGUACAGAGUCAAUCAGUGCCCUCCCAGACGUUAGUCAGACUCUAAACCUGUCGGGUGAGUUUCCUCAGAGCCUGUCGGUAAAGCCAGCUGCACGUCAUCUCCAUGGCGCGUCAGCUGUGACAUUCACCACCGCUUGUGGCGUCAGGAUGCCUUCAUCACCUCGGGUGACUUCCUGGACGGGGCAGGGCUGCUUCACUAGAGCUGAAUUUCAGUGCAUCAGAGAGCUCUGCAUGAGGAAGCAGCAGGAGGAGGAAGCAGAUGUUUGAGCCUUGCUUUUUCUUGGCAUAUUCUUCUAUAACUAGUUAAUGUUCAUAGUUUACUUGUUUUUGAUUAAUAAGACCACCUUUGAGGGCUGGAGAUUUAGCUCAGUGGCAGCACGCCUGCCUUGCAAGCACAAGGUCCCAAGUUGGAUUCCCAAUACCACAAAAAACGGGGGAGGACCACCUUUGAGGAAGACAUGGUCACCACAUCUGUUUUCCUAGUAGCAUGAAACACAUUGGAGAGAGUAGAAGCCAUCGAGCGCCUGGUCUUUCCCAGAAGUGUAAAGGGGGCCACCAUGGGCUGACGCCAAAAAGCGCUGAGCUCAAGACUCACCACCCACGUCACAGACACUAGAGAAACAGCACUGUUACUGACGCAGAGAUGCAACAUGUGAAAAUGUGAGUCUGGAAAUCAGCAGAAGAUGGUUUGCCCUUCUGUGUUCUAUUGUCUCAGAUACAGAUUUAACCCUUAAAGAGUCCUGGAAGGAACAUUACAGGAUCCUUCCCUGUGUGGGGUUGAGAAAUCCUGGGCCAGUGUCUCUCUAAGGACACAGAUCUGCCUAUACACAGGAGAGAGACUUUGAAGGCUGUGUAGAGGAGCCUGAGCUUUCAACUGACCAACCUGAGUUGCAACCAGCCCUUGUGCACGAAUUAAGUUCACGAGUCAAGGGUCCACUACACUUGUAAUCCUACAGGGUGAUUCUAGUUUGACCCACGUUGUACCCACGUUGUGAUUUUGUUGUAUAAAUUACCCCUGACAAAGGGCCGCAGUGGCCACCCACUUGGGAUCCCGCCUGUCUCUCAGGAGCUUUCUCUUAAUAAAACUUCGCUACUCC